UACGAAGGGUGCUAGCGUUGCUCGGAAUCACUGGGCGUAAAGCGCACGUAGGCGGAUCUUUAAGUCAGAGGUGAAAUCCCAAGGCUCAACCUUGGAACUGCCUUUGAUACUGGGGAUCUCGAGUCCGGAAGAGGUGAGUGGAACUGCGAGUGUAGAGGUGAAAUUCGUAGAUAUUCGCAAGAACACCAGUGGCGAAGGCGGCUCACUGGUCCGGUACUGACGCUGAGGUGCGAAAGCGUGGGGAGCAAACAGG
RNAcentral lists this ribosomal RNA (253 nucleotides) under uncultured bacterium. RNAcentral's name for it is "partial 16S ribosomal RNA". It matches the Rfam family "Bacterial small subunit ribosomal RNA", at positions 524 to 776 of the family's 1533-position model. The record is from RNAcentral.